UCUUUUGAUACGGUGCUGGAUAAAGGUGCUCUUGAUGCUUUGAUGGAACCAGAAGUUGGAACGAAGCUGGGAAGUCAAUACUUAUCAGAGGCCAAACGUGUUCUGAAACCUGGGGGGAAGUUUAUCUGUCUAACGCUGGCGGAGUCUCAUGUCUUAGCAUUGCUCUUUUCAAAACU
Non-coding RNA from Camelina sativa (false flax), 176 nucleotides. NCBI's taxonomy places the organism in Eukaryota, Viridiplantae, Streptophyta, Magnoliopsida, Brassicales, Brassicaceae. The record is from RefSeq and is a predicted model, not a curated record.